CUCAGAGUCGAGCAGAAGAUUUUCCUUUUUUCCCUUGGGAUCCUCAGUGAUGUGGAACUUGAGGUUCUGUUAAAAUAGAGAAGGAGAAAUGUUGAAAGCGCAUUCACAAACCUCUUGCAAUGACUGCAGAAGGGAAUACAUGGAAGACAGGACUUACAAGAUGGAAUCCUCUCCUAGAGAUAAAAUUGUAAGGACUUUGGCUUUUACUGUGGGUAAACUAGGGGGACUUUGAAGGGCUUUCAGCAGGGAAGUAACAUGAUCUCACUUACACUUGAAAAGGAUGGUUGAGGAGAAGACUGGCCUGGAAAUAUACAUACAGAAUCGUCAGCAUGUUAUUGGAAAAACCAAUCAACAAAUGGUGUGCUGUGGGAAUAAUAAAUGGGGCCACCAGGCUAGUGUUGGAAGAAGUGGUGGGAGAAGUUCCCUAGAGGAGGAUAUCUAUCUAUCUAUCUAUCUAUCUGACAUCCAUCCAUCCAUCCAUCCAUCCACUGUAUCCCCAGUGUCUAGAAUGGCCUGGAGCCUAUAGUAAUUGCUCUCACAUAUUUAUUGAGUGAACAAAUGAAUAAAUGGAAUGAAAUCUUCCAAGUUGAUUAGUAAUAUUCUAGCAAAUUGAGCAAAAGAGCAGAGAAAUAGUUUGCACUGUGGAUGGAAGCCACCUCAAAGCAUCAUGGUCCUUCUACUAGCUAGGCUUUAAGUGGUGUGGGGGUGGGAAUUGCUUCUUUCUAGUGCAAGAAGAUUGUGUGAGUAACCCCUGAUCACCAUACACCAACUUGGGUAGCCCCAUAAAACAGCUGCCCAAAUCUUCCAUAGCAUUGAGCCAACUGUUUGGUGUUUCAAGUCUAAAACCAUUUGUCUUCUGUCAUACUGGAGACUGCCAGGAUGACUUCAAAGCCCUGAAUCCAUCUUUACUCUGAUCAAUUACCUGUAGUCCAUUAAAUUUUCACAGAUGAUCUGAAAUUUGACUUGAGCUUUGGAAGAUCAUGGGGUUAUUGGUUGACUGCAUGGGAAGUACUUAGUACAGGCCUGAAAUAAAAUUGCCAAUAUAUUUUUGCAGCUACUUUUUCUACUAUUACAACUGUAAAUAAUAAUUGCUAUUAUUAAUAUUUUAUAGUGUAGUAACAAUGUUUUAUCCCAUUGACCUAGUGAAUUUCAAGGUUCCCCAGUUGUCCAUUAUUAUCCAGACUAUAAUUUGUGUGUCUCUAGAUGUACCUUAAUUAGUUCUCUCCCUGCCCCAUUGACAAGAACAAAAACAAAAUCAGCUUUCCACUGUGCCCUCUGGACCUUCUGUUUGUGGUCAUCAAAUUCCCCUUUAAACUCUGGAGACUUCUGGAAUGUUUGUUUCCCAGGACUUUCUCUACAUGGAACCUGGCUGGCCCCCAAGAUUCUGCUGCCCUUGCACUUUCUCAAGUAGACAAAACUUUAUUUCCUUGAACCACUUGUCCCUCCAGCCAGAAGUCAGGGCACUAUUUCCCUGCAAUUCACUGCUGCUUCCAGGACAUGUCCCUUGGCAAAAGCUUCUGCUUCUGUCAAGCACACGUGUCCUACUGAGCCUCCCUUCUCCCUCCUCAUGCUGUCGUCUGCCUGUACCCUUGUCCUUUGUUUCAUGCACUGAAGACUUUAGCUUCUAGCUCAGACUUUGCUUCUCAUACCCCUUCUUGUCAUUGUGUGUGGUGACUCUGACACCCAAUAAACUCUCAGUUCCUUGACCACCUCGCCUUUAAUAGAGGUGUUAUUCAUUUCUCAUAGACCGUGUCAUCACCAGUGCCUGUGCCACCUCCAUCAUCUCUCUGACCACCAUCCUUUAACCUUCCAGCUCAUUGCAACUUCCAUUUUUUCAGUUCUUUGACCACUUCUCACCAUGUUAUUCAAGCUCUUAGUAGCCAGAAUGCCUGGUUCUUCCAUUUGCUCUUAGAAAGUCACUUCUGCAGGGAGGUUUUCCUGUCCGCCUUGUAUAAAUUAUGUUCUCUUCUGAGAAUCUCUCCCAUGUAAGGUUCCCAAAUAAGAACUCUGCUUACUUUCCUCAUUGCAUUUAUUGCAAUGCGGAGUGAUUUUAUUUACUUACUUCUGUGUUGUCUCCCCCCCACCCCCCGCCCCACUCCCAUGUCUUGCACUAGAACAUGACCACAGAGGUCUUAUUUUUUUUGUUCUCUUUUGGAUCUCUGGUAUGCAACAUGUUGCCUGGCACAUAGAAAACAGUCAACCAAUAAUUGUUGAUUAAGUGCAAUUUUUAAAGACCACAGGUGGAUUGUUUAUUUCAAGAUACAGCACAAAAUGAAUCUGUGUAUCUAUUAACAGGAUUUACUUACACAAUUGUACUACAUUUCACCAGCCUUCAUGCCAUAUUUAAUGAAAUAAAAAAAA
Molecule: long non-coding RNA, 2361 nt
Organism: Herpailurus yagouaroundi (jaguarundi)
Lineage: Eukaryota; Metazoa; Chordata; Mammalia; Carnivora; Felidae
Exons: 2
Source: RefSeq, a predicted model, not a curated record